RNAcentral lists this long non-coding RNA (280 nucleotides) under Brassica napus (rape). RNAcentral describes it as "long non-coding RNA (BNAP_LNC018246)". The record is from RNAcentral. Lineage: Eukaryota; Viridiplantae; Streptophyta; Magnoliopsida; Brassicales; Brassicaceae.
CCCUAAUAAACCUGCUCUAAGAAAACAAGAUUUGAGUCGGCAAAGACUACUUGUGUACGAAAAAACUACAAUCAAGUACCAGUAAAAUCUUAUGAAGGAGAAUUUCUAGAAUUCAGUCUUUGAAUCUUUCUUUGUUUGUUCCCAUAUCUAUUGUAACUCUCAUCCAUGAGGAUUCUGUUUCUGGUUACUAAUAUGAGAUAUGCCAUGGAUGUUUAAAAAUAAACUUAUUUACAAUAUAUGAUUGUGAAAUGGAAAUUUUGGGAUAUCAAUGUCGUCUCUC